AUCUUUCUUUACAAGGCAUGAGUUCGGCCCAACUAGCCUUUUUUUGCUUUUUUCCAAGGAUUCUGGUUCCACAUUCUAGCCACAACCUUUUCUAGUUUUCUUGUUCUUCUUAGUCCUUAUGGUUCCGAUUCCAGCAAGGAAGCAAACAAUAGUCAACGUCUCGAUGAUUCCAGGCUUUCUGUCAUCCAGCGUCUAGAAGGCAACAAAUGCCGGUGGUUCUGACAAAUGACAGUGAAUCACGAUUCAAUUUUUAGGUUCAAGUUCAAGUGGUCAAGAAAAUGAAAAAGGGUGUAAAGUUUUGUUAUUGUUGGCACUUGGCAAUGGUCUCAUGGAAGAAAUUACAUUGUUGCUCAUUGUUGCUAUUUGUAGUAUUAUUAUUUGUUAUUGUUGGUGGAAAAUUUGAUAUGUUUGCACCAUUGCUCUUGAGUUUUGUUAUUGUCAAAAUAUUAAUGUUUUGUAGUUCUUUGUAUUAAUGUUGACUGUUGAGGAAAGAACUAGGGGUGAAAUUUGUGUCAUUUUUCUGCUAAUGAUAUGUGUUGCUUUUCUGAAAAAUUAAGGUGCAUUGCUGGUGUAAUGAGUGAAGAACUCAUAAAUGCACGUGGUGCAUUGUUGUUACUUGUUAGAUUGUCACAAUGUGUAUUUUCUGUUGCUAUUGAUAUGAUUGACUGCAUUAUUGUGUUGUGUAAUGGCAUGGUCAAUUGUGUUUGCCUAUUAGUAGUAAUAAAUUUUAUUAUUUAGUAGUAUAA
Solanum dulcamara is the source of this 746-nucleotide long non-coding RNA. RefSeq lists it as uncharacterized. The record is from RefSeq and is a predicted model, not a curated record. The transcript has 2 exons. Lineage: Eukaryota; Viridiplantae; Streptophyta; Magnoliopsida; Solanales; Solanaceae.